CUUACAAACNACCNNGUGAAGCGGCAACAGCUCAAAUUUGANAUCUGGCCCUUGGGUCCGAAUUGUAAUUUGUAGAGGAUGAUUUUGGUGCGGUAUCUUCCGAGUUCCUUGGAACAGGACGCCUUAGAGGGUGAGAGCCCCGUACGGUUGAAUGCCUAGCCUCUGUAAAUCUCCUUCGACGAGUCGAGUAGUUUGGGAAUGCUGCUCUAAAUGGGAGGUAAAUUUCUUCUAAAGCUAAAUAUUGGCCAGAGACCGAUAGCGCACAAGUAGAGUGAUCGAAAGAUGAAAAGCACUUUGAAAAGAGGGUUAAAUAGCACGUGAAAUUGUUGAAAGGGAAGGAUUUGUGACCAGACUUUUUCUGGGCGGAUCAUCCGGGGUUCUCUCCGGUGCACUUCGCCCAGUAAAGGCCAGCAUCGGUUUUCGGCGUGGGAUAAAAGCAGUANGAAUGUGGCUCUCUACGGGGAGUGUUAUANCCUAUUGUAUAAUACCNCGCUGGGGACCGANGUUCNCGCUUCUGCAAGGAUGCUGGCGUAAUGGUUAUCAAUCNCCC
RNAcentral lists this ribosomal RNA (550 nucleotides) under Pestalotiopsis sp. 11Bg91. Its description in RNAcentral is "eukaryotic LSU rRNA". It matches the Rfam family "Eukaryotic large subunit ribosomal RNA", at positions 79 to 650 of the family's 3401-position model. Lineage: Eukaryota; Fungi; Ascomycota; Sordariomycetes; Amphisphaeriales; Sporocadaceae. The record is from RNAcentral.